CUGGAGGAGUGUGGAUGGUGUGUGGUUGGCUGAGGGAGCUGCAGAACCCCAGCUUGGGCAGUGCUGCCAGAAGCCAGGGAGAGUGAGAAGGAUCCCUGAGCUGGUUGCAGGGACUACAUCAGGACAAGGCUCUGAGGUGAGUUUGCAGAUUAUGAAUCUGUGGUUUGAAUGAACUAAUGGUGGGCUUGAACUACAAUGCUGGAACUGAACACCCUUGAUCUCUCGGAUCCAGAUUUGGGGAGUGGUGACUUGGGGACUGUGGGCUGGACUUCUAUCUGAGCUGUGCGUACGUCUACACCUGAAAAGCCGUCACUAGGUAUGAAAUCUGGGGGUGGAAACUGAUCACUUUGGCUCUGCCUUCCCACUUCCUGUACGGAGAGGUUCUCUUCCAAGGGAGGAGCCAUGGAAUGGCCCGUACGUAGGGGAUACGUUCCCCAUCUCUUGGCAUGUACACACCCUGACCCAUCAAUAUGUACAGAUCUCCUGUAGGAUACUCCCACCGUUGACAAGCGUGACCUCUCUGAGGAGCCUUUCUUGGGGACAGAGACUUCUAAAAUUUGGACGUGCAUCAAAUCUGCUCCUUCAGCCCUCAUGUGGGCAAUGUUGGGGUGGAGUUGACUAAAUGAACUUAAUGCUCAGAUUUAGGAUUUGCACCUGUGUAUGUAAUGAACGAAGACAUGAACAAUGUGGGACCUUGCGCUCUGAUUCACAAAUGGGUUUGAUGUACAUCUGGGUCCUGAGCCUUCAUCGUUCCCUUACAUUGAAUUAAAAUCGUGUAAAGCAGAUAAACCCUUAUGCUGUGGGGCAUCGGUGAGGUUAGAUAGAAAUGUCUAUAGGGUGGGAAGGUUAUUCCAUUACUGAACAUACAGCUUAGCUUUUUGUACAUUUUUAUAAAAUAUCUGGUGCUGGCUGCUACUGGAGAGAGCGUCCUACACUAAAGAGACCAAUGGACUGACCCGUUAUGGCUUUUUCUAUUAGCAAAGUCUGUCUAAGUGUGCAGUGCUUGUGAAGGCUGGUGGUUUGUUCAGAAGAAAGUUGAUCAGCUUUCAGUAUUUUAUGCAAAUUGAUUGACAGAAUGGAGCCAGCCAUCUGGCUGAAUGCUGCUGACGUCCAUCACCUGCUGAUUUUGCAGGCUUUCGUUUUGAUUGCUGUUGCACUAAGAACUCAGCUCUCUGACAGCUUCCUCUUGUCCUUCCAACUGAUCUGCCUGUGGACAUUCUCAAGCGGUCUUUGAGUCUCAGACUGAACCAAGGCAAUGCAUCACCAGCCCUGGGAAAGUCGGAUCAUUUAUCAUUACGUCGUCUCAUGAUGUUGCAUUAAUUAGUUCUAGUCUGUGGGUGAAGCGGGGUGAAGGGAAAGACUUUUAUCAGUGAUAAUUGGCAUGGUUUACCAGUAACUUAAAACUGAAGGAAGGGCAGGAAUCAUUAAUUAACAGAUCAGACUUUCUUACAGAGUCCUUUCCCUGUUAAAUGGAAAAUGCUCAUGGAAACUUGAGACUGUUUACUUGCACACUAGUGCUUGAAAGUAAUUUAUCCAUAGUGGGGCCCAUAAUCAUUAGUGCAAGUUACACAGAAGUGCUAUGGCAAAAACACCCCAUCAUCAUAAAGGAUUCAAAAAUGCUCCACAAAGCUGACUUUGUUGGUCUGGAGGAAUCUAGUGUAACUUGUUGACUGGAAGUGUGGCACUCUAUGAUAGUCACAAAGUGAUGCAAGAGGGCAGGGAAUUAUUACUGAUAUAUUUGUAUUACUGUACAGCCUGGAGGCUGCACCUGAGGUCAGGACCCCUUUGUGCUAGGCACUGGGCAGACACAUAAUUCACAAUCUAAACAGAGAAUAUAGGCAAAGUAAGGAAUAUCAUCCCCACUUUACAGAGCCACAGAGAGAUUAAAUAACUUGCCUGAGGUCACAACACAGUAAAGAGUACUACACACCACGGGCUUGCCGCUGACACACGUCGUUGUUGGUGUUGCUGUGAACGUAGAGGAGUGCACCUUCUGAGAGCAGUGGGCUGGUAGUAAUGUAAGAACUCACUACUGCGCUCUGAUGUUAAAUCUUUGCUUAGAGGCGCAAGGAGCCUGCUGGGCUUGGGAGGGUGUGUGUCUAUCAUCCAAUCUGCAGGACAGCAAAGUGUGAAUUAGUGGUGCCCAAAGGCGUUUUGUGUGUUUGCACUCCACCUCAAACGAAUGGUAACCAAAGCCUUGCACUGCUGGCUCACUGAACACUCUCAUUCAUGGCAGCGGGACAGUGACAGGUCCACCAGAAUACUAUAUUUAUCCAUAGUCUCUGACCCCUUUUGUGUAAUUCAGAGAUUUUAAAGUCAGAAAGGACCACUCUGACCUCCUGCAUAACGCAGGCCAUAGAACUUCACUCUGAUAAGCACCGUUCUUUCCUCCUAAACAGUGCCAAGCCCAGUACCUCAGAGCUGAACUAGAGAAUAUAUUUUCAAUUGAG
This is a long non-coding RNA of Mauremys mutica (yellowpond turtle), 2450 nucleotides long. RefSeq lists it as uncharacterized. The record is from RefSeq and is a predicted model, not a curated record. The transcript has 3 exons. Lineage: Eukaryota; Metazoa; Chordata; Testudines; Geoemydidae.